This 1010-nucleotide ribosomal RNA is filed under the name Campylobacter jejuni. RNAcentral's name for it is "partial 23S ribosomal RNA". It matches the Rfam family "Bacterial large subunit ribosomal RNA", at positions 1 to 1030 of the family's 2925-position model. The record is from RNAcentral. Lineage: Bacteria; Pseudomonadati; Campylobacterota; Epsilonproteobacteria; Campylobacterales; Campylobacteraceae.
AGGUAAGCUACUAAGAGCGAAUGGUGGAUGCCUUGACUGGUAAAGGCGAUGAAGGACGUACUAGACUGCGAUAAGCUACGGGGAGCUGUCAAGAAGCUUUGAUCCGUAGAUUUCCGAAUGGGGCAACCCAAUGUAUAGAGAUAUACAUUACCUAUAUAGGAGCGAACGAGGGGAAUUGAAACAUCUUAGUACCCUCAGGAAAAGAAAUCAAUAGAGAUUGCGUCAGUAGCGGCGAGCGAAAGCGCAAGAGGGCAAACCCAGUGCUUGCACUGGGGGUUGUAGGACUGCAAUGUGCAAGAGGUAAGUUUAGCAGAACAUUCUGGAAAGUAUAACCAUAGAGGGUGAUAGUCCCGUAUGCGAAAAACAAACCUUAGCUAGCAGUAUCCUGAGUAGGGCGGGACACGAGGAAUCCUGUCUGAAUCCGGGUCGACCACGAUCCAACCCUAAAUACUAAUACCAGAUCGAUAGUGCACAAGUACCGUGAGGGAAAGGUGAAAAGAACUGAGGUGAUCAGAGUGAAAUAGAACCUGAAACCAUUUGCUUACAAUCAUUCAGAGCCCUAUGUAGCAAUACAGGGUGAUGGACUGCCUUUUGCAUAAUGAGCCUGCGAGUUGUGGUGUCUGGCAAGGUUAAGCAAACGCGAAGCCGUAGCGAAAGCGAGUCUGAAUAGGGCGCUUAGUCAGAUGCUGCAGACCCGAAACGAAGUGAUCUAUCCAUGAGCAAGUUGAAGCUAGUGUAAGAACUAGUGGAGGACUGAACCCAUAGGCGUUGAAAAGCCCCGGGAUGACUUGUGGAUAGGGGUGAAAGGCCAAUCAAACUUCGUGAUAGCUGGUUCUCUCCGAAAUAUAUUUAGGUAUAGCGUUGUGUCGUAAUAUAAGGGGGUAGAGCACUGAAUGGGCUAGGGCAUACACCAAUGUACCAAACCCUAUCAAACUCCGAAUACCUUAUAUGUAAUCACAGCAGUCAGGCGGCGAGUGAUAAAAUCCGUCGUCAAGAGGGAAACAACCCAG